RNAcentral lists this ribosomal RNA (108 nucleotides) under Propithecus coquereli (Coquerel's sifaka). Lineage: Eukaryota; Metazoa; Chordata; Mammalia; Primates; Indriidae. The record is from RNAcentral.
GUCUACGGCCAUACCACCCUGAAUGCACCCGAUCUCAUCUGAUCUCAGAAGCUAAGCAGGGUCAGGCCUGGUUAGUACUUGGAUGGGAGAAAACAACCAUCUUAGAAU